RNAcentral lists this ribosomal RNA (115 nucleotides) under Danio rerio (zebrafish). The record is from RNAcentral. Lineage: Eukaryota; Metazoa; Chordata; Actinopteri; Cypriniformes; Danionidae.
AGCCACAACCUUAUCACCCUGCAGCCAAAGACCAGUUAUACUCACUGAAGCUAAGCAGGGCUGAAUCUGAUCAGUACCUGGAUGGGAGACCACAUAAACUAGGUUGCUGUUGGAA